Molecule: long non-coding RNA, 1452 nt
Organism: Thamnophis elegans (Western terrestrial garter snake)
Lineage: Eukaryota; Metazoa; Chordata; Lepidosauria; Squamata; Natricidae
Exons: 2
Source: RefSeq, a predicted model, not a curated record
AAAAGCAAUGUUUACUUAAAUUGAUUGUUCAUACACUUUGGAAUAUUAAAAAUGGAGUUUUAAAAAUCAGUGCAUUAGCAGAGUUCUUAAGCAACUAUUCAUUCUUUUGUUAUUAUACUAUUAAUUCAAAACAUAUUCUGCAAAAAUGAUGGUAAGAGAGUACAAUCACUGUGAUUAAUUAAAGGCCGUUUUAAUAAUAUAACUAACUAUUUCCAUACUUUUUUACAGGUAUUGAUAAAAUGUGGUGACCAGCUGGGAGGAGUGGAGCAAUGGAUUGAAUCAGCAACAAGGAUCAUUGAGUAAUUAAUAGACAGGGCAAGGUAAGUACUCCGAGGUUAAAAUUGGCAGAGUUGCUUGAGCCAGUUAGCACAUUUGAAAUGUUGAGAACAUAUUUUGGCAACUGUCUUCAUUAGGAUGAGCAAUCACAAAGCACCCAUUCACUGUAAGAUAAGCUGGUAAGAUUGUGGCCUUAUCAUCCAUCUAAUAUCCCAAGACGCUUGCUUGAAUACAUGAGGACCAGAAACAUUCUUGGAAUAAAGACUGUGACGUUGCUUUGCAACUCCCAUUAAAAAAAAUUAGGAAGAAAAAAAGAUAAAUCAGAAGGGACAGGAGAGGGGAUUUUAUGUACAUUAACCAUAUUGCUAUCUUUAUUAAAAAUGUUUAAGUCCAUUUAUUACAAUACUUACUUCAAAAUUACUGUGGUAGCAUGGUUGAUGAUUCUUGUAUUGCUUCAAUCAAACUGGUGCUGUUUAGUGUCAGUAUAGGUAGCUAUUAGGGAUUUUGGAUCAUAGUGAUUGUCUGCCAGUUCAUGUUAAUAGAUUCUGGUUUUCAACUGAUGUGAUGUUUUUUCCAUGUAGAAUUGUAUACAGAUAUUUGCCACUAUUGCAAACUUACAUGGAAAUGCAAUGCUCAGACAUGCCUACAAGUGUAGCUUUCUUCAUUUGUGAAGAAAGCUACACUUUCUUCACAAAUGCCUCCGCAAACAAACAAAAAAGUAUAUGCUACCAAUCACCAAUGCCCACAACCGCCAUGAAAAAUACCAACGCAUCACCGAAGAACAAAAAAAGCAUAUGCCUCAACUGUUUUGGACAUGCCUCAACUGACAGACAUCUUAGAACACAUGAUCCACAGGAAUGCCAACAAAAUACAAACCAAUACAAAAAUGCAACUCACUACAGGAGAAACUCAAUACCAUCACCUCAAAACCACCAGACAACUCAGAAUUAGGGAUCAGAAAUCUAUCUAGCAGACCUCUAUCAGAUGAUGAAAAGACUGUCCUCACACACAGCCUCAACCACAAAGACACUGACCCCAUUGAAUUCUCAGCCAACCUCAAAUACAUUUUAAAAUCGAACUACCUGGACUAAGAAAUACAAUAAGACAUCAGGCAAAGAAUCAUCCUAACAAGCAAUGCAACAGAUAAAACAAACACUCAGGCAAAACACGAAGAGA